Molecule: ribosomal RNA, 497 nt
Filed under: uncultured bacterium
Lineage: Bacteria
Description: partial 16S ribosomal RNA
Rfam family: Bacterial small subunit ribosomal RNA
Source: RNAcentral
GAUGAACGCUGGCGGCGUGCCUAAUACAUGCAAGUCGAGCGAACAGACGAGGAGCUUGCUCCUCUGACGUUAGCGGCGGACGGGCGAGUAACACGUGGAUAACCUACCUAUAAGACUGGGAUAACUUCGGGAAACCGGGGCUAAUACCGGAUAAUAUAUUGAACCGCAUGGUUCAAUAGUGAAAGACGGUUUUGCUGUCACUUAUAGAUGGAUCCGCGCCGCAUUAGCUAGUUGGUAAGGUAACGGCUUACCAAGGCAACGAUGCGUAGCCGACCUGAGAGGGUGAUCGGCCACACUGGAACUGAGACACGGUCCAGACUCCUACGGGAGGCAGCAGUAGGGAAUCUUCCGCAAUGGGCGAAAGCCUGACGGAGCAACGCCGCGUGAGUGAUGAAGGUCUUCGGAUCGUAAAACUCUGUUAUUAGGGAAGAACAAAUGUGUAAGUAACUAUGCACGUCUUGACGGUACCUAAUCAGAAAGCCACGGCUAACUACGUG